GAGCUCGCUUCUUCAACACAUAUACUAAAAUUGGAACGACACACAGAAGAUCAGCAUGGACCUGUGCAAUGAUUACAAACAAAUUAUUGAAGCAUUCCAUAUUUUU
This 106-nucleotide small nuclear RNA is filed under the name Procavia capensis (Cape rock hyrax). Lineage: Eukaryota; Metazoa; Chordata; Mammalia; Hyracoidea; Procaviidae. The record is from RNAcentral.